CCUUUACGGUUACCUUGUUACGACUUACUCCCCCUUGCUGACCGAAGUUCGAGCGCCCCGGAUGAGGCACCCUCUCUCCGACCCGACUCUCAUGAGUUGACGGGCGGAGUGUAUUAGAUUCACUGCACCUUCACCGUGGGAUGUUGACCCUGGAUUACUACUGAAUCCAUUUUCAUUAGGCCGAUUUACAGCCCUCCAUCCUUACUACGAUGGGGUUUCAGGAUUGACUCCCCCUUUCAAGGUCCUUCCCCAUUGUCCCCACCUUUGUACCGCGCGUGUUGCCCGGAAGAUUCGGGGCAUACGGACCUACCGUAGACCUCUCCUUCCUCUGCCUUAGUGCAUUAAUCCCGCUAGUGUGCUCCUACAAUCGCUUGUAAGAUCGCGACUAACGGCGAGGGUCUCGUUCGUUAUCUGACUUCUUUAAACGCCUUACGGUACGAACUGACAACGGUCAUGCACCACCUCUCGGAAAAUCGGGCAAGGUCUUCAGCCUGGCUUUCAUCCCUCCGUCGCCUCCGGUGAGUUUUCCGGCGUUGAAUCCAAUUGAACCGCACGCUCCUCCCGUUGCGGUGCUCUCCCGCCAAUUCCUUUAAGUUUCAGUCUUGCGAUCGUACUCCCCAAGCGGCAGACUCAACACCUUCGCUCCGGCACUGGGAGCCCACGCAUGACCCCCAACACCAAGUCUGCAUCGAUUUACACCCUACACUACCGGAGUAUCUAAUCCCGUUUGUUGCCCUAGGGCUUCGUCCCUCACUGCUCGGAUUCGUUCUAUGUGUAGCGCCUUCGCCGACUGGGUGAUCCGCCCCCAGUGAGUACACGCAUCUUUACCACCGUACGCGCGAGGCCCUAGCCUUACGACCCAUCUGCCCUGAUCUCUAA
RNAcentral lists this ribosomal RNA (879 nucleotides) under uncultured archaeon. Its description in RNAcentral is "partial 16S ribosomal RNA". The record is from RNAcentral.